This 369-nucleotide ribosomal RNA is filed under the name uncultured Syntrophaceae bacterium. Its description in RNAcentral is "bacterial SSU rRNA". It matches the Rfam family "Bacterial small subunit ribosomal RNA", at positions 1013 to 1382 of the family's 1533-position model. The record is from RNAcentral. Lineage: Bacteria; Pseudomonadati; Thermodesulfobacteriota; Syntrophia; Syntrophales; Syntrophaceae.
UGGCCCUUCGGGGAACCCGGUGACAGGUGCUGCAUGACUGUCGUCAGCUCGUGUCGUGAGAUGUUGGGUUAAGUCCCGCAACGAGCGCAACCCUUGUCUUUAAUUGCCAUCAUUUAGUUGGGCACUUUAAAGAGACUGCCGGUGUUAAGCCGGAGGAAGGUGGGGAUGACGUCAAGUCCUCAUGGCCUUUAUGCCCAGGGCUACACACGUGCUACAAUGGGCGGUACAAAGAGAAGCAACCUCGCGAGGGUGAGCAAAUCUCAAAAAGCCGUUCUCAGUUCGGAUUGAAGUCUGCAACUCGACUUCAUGAAGUCGGAAUCGCUAGUAAUCGCGGAUCAGCAUGCCGCGGUGAAUACGUUCCCGGGCCUU